UACGUAGGGUGCGAGCGUUAAUCGGAAUUACUGGGCGUAAAGCGUGCGCAGGCUGUUCUGUAAGUCAGAUGUGAAAUCCCCGAGCUCAACUUGGGAACUGCGUUUGAAACUACAGGACUAGAAUAUGUCAGAGGGGGGUAGAAUUCCACGUGUAGCAGUGAAAUGCGUAGAGAUGUGGAGGAACACCGAUGGCGAAGGCAGCCCCCUGGGUCAAGAUUGACGCUCAUGCACGAAAGCGUGGGGAGCAAACAGG
RNAcentral lists this ribosomal RNA (253 nucleotides) under uncultured bacterium. RNAcentral describes it as "partial 16S ribosomal RNA". It matches the Rfam family "Bacterial small subunit ribosomal RNA", at positions 524 to 776 of the family's 1533-position model. The record is from RNAcentral.